RNAcentral lists this long non-coding RNA (1364 nucleotides) under Gouania willdenowi (blunt-snouted clingfish). RNAcentral describes it as "lncRNA (ENSGWIG00000011679.1)". The record is from RNAcentral. Lineage: Eukaryota; Metazoa; Chordata; Actinopteri; Blenniiformes; Gobiesocidae.
AUUUGCAGUACUUUUUAGGGUCUAAUGAUGGUCCUAACUCUUUUUUUUUUUUUUUUAAUUUUUGAAAAAAUAUGCCUUGUUAUAGCCUUACGUUUGAAUUUGGGUGAUUUUUGUUUUUUGUCAUUUUUUGUGCCUUACUGCUUUCUUAGCCCUGUUUAAGUAUGUGCAUUAUAUUUGCAGUAGUUUUUAGGGUCUAAUGAUGGUCCUAACUCAAUUUUUUUUUUUUUUGAAAUUUUUGAAAAAAUAUGCCUUGGGUGCUUUUAGUUUUUUGUCAUUUUUUGUGCCUUACUGCUUUCUUAGCCCUGUUUCGGUAUGUGCAUUAUAUUUGCAGUACUUUUUAGGGUCUAAUAAUGGUCCUAACUGAAUUUUCUUUUUUUUUUGAAAUUUUUGACAAAAUAUGCUUUGUUAUAGCCUUUCUUUUGAUUUUGGGUGAUUUUUGUUUUUUGUCAUUUUUUGUGCCUUACUGUUUUCUUAGCCCUGUUUAAGUAUGUGCAUUAUAUUUGCAGUACUUUUUAGGGUCUAAUGAUGGUCCUAACUCAAUUUUUUUUUUUUUUUUUAAUUUUUGAAAAAAUAUGCUUUGUUAUAAUAUUUGCAGUAGUUUUUAGGGUCUAAUGAUGGUCCUAACUCAAUUUUUUUUUUUUUUUUUAAUUUUUUGAAAAAAUAUGCCUUGUUAUAGCCUUACUUUUGAUUUUGGGUGCUUUUAGUUUUUUGUCAUUUUUUGUGCCUUACUCCUUUCUUAGCCCUGUUUAGGUAUGUGCAUUACAUUUGCAGUACUUUUUAGGGUCUAAUGAUGGUCCUAACUCAAAUUUUUUUUUUUUUGACAUUUUUGAAAAAAUAUGCCUUGUUAUAGCCUUACGUUUGAAUUUGGGUGAUUUUUGUUUUUUGUCAUUUUUUGUGCCUUACUGCUUUCUUAGCCCUGUUUAGGUUUGUGCAUUAUAUUUGCAGUACUUUUUAGGGUCUAAUGAUGGUCCUAACUCAAUUUUUUUUUUUUUAAUUUUUGAAAAAAUAUGCCUUGGGGUGAUUUUAUUUUUUUUGUUUUUUUUUGUGCCUUACUGCUUUCUUAGUUCUGUUUAAGUAUGUGCAUUAUAUUUGCAGUAGUUUUUAGGGUCUAAUGAUGGUCCAAACUCAUUUUUUUUUUUUUUUAAAUUUUUGAAAAAAUAUGCCUUACUUUUGAUUUUGGGUGCUUUUAGUUUUUUGUCAUUUUUUGUGCCUUACUCCUUUCUUAGCCCUGUUUAAGUAUGUGCAUUAUUAUUGCAGUAGUUUUUAGGGUCUAAAAAUGGUCCUAACUGAAUUUUUUUUUUUUUUUUGAAAUUUUUGAAAAAAUAUGCUUUGUUAUAGCCUUACUUUUGAUUUUGGUUGCUUUA